CAAUUCAUCCAAUAUUUAGAAAAUAAUUGAAAAUUUUCAUGGUCAAAUUAAUAUGGAAAAUCAUAAUUAAAUAAACUCGAUUGUUUCAACUGCUCAUUCUGACGAAGCAGCACUAGUUCGACAUAUUGCUUCUGAUGAUAAUUAUUAUAUAUCAGUGUUGCAAAUUAGCAAGGUAUAGUGCCUUCAGACUUAAAUUCACCACUUUCAUAACCUUCUCGAUCAGUACCUUCACCUUCUCCGUCAGUACCUCCUUCAUCAACUCUCAAUAUCACCAAAAUUCUAAAUGACUAUCCAGACUUCAUACGAAUUUUUUUAUUUGGCCUAAACUAGGGGGGGAAAAAAACCCAAAACAGAAGAUGUACAGAACUUUAGACAUGAAUAUUUCAAGAUGUGAAUUUGAGGCCUACUACACAUCAUUAGAGAGGACUAAAUUUAUGAUCAAUAGGAUAAAAAGACAUGCAUUUUUAUAUUUUCAUGCAUAAACUUGUUGUACUCAAUGCAUUUCCAGAGGAGAAGGAAGAAGGAUACCAUCUCUUUAUCUAUUCUCUUCCAAAUUAGUAGCAUAUCUCUGGCUUUUUCGUUGCACGAAUUGUAGCCCCUCAUCAAUGUGAGAGAUCUGCUGACCUUCAAUUUCACCUACAAAGAAUAAAAGAGUCGACAGUUCAGUAUAAACACUACAAACGCCAUCUGAUGAAACCUAAACCCAAAGGUACACAAGUUUUAGAGAGAAAGUAAGGACAGAGAUAGAUAUGGGGAGGACCUUGAGCGAGGAGGCGAUUGACGGCUUCGUUGGGGAGGACCUCAGAGGAGGGAGAACGCUGUCGAAAUCUUACACGAACAAUCCUAGGUGGAGCAAAUCUUUCAAAACCAACCCCAUCCCUCCCUCCCUCCCACCCUCCCUCCGCAAUUCCCACUUCUCCCAUACCCCAAAUUCAGCAUCACCGCUCAACCCUGUCUCUUUCUCUCUCUGGAAUACCUACGCCUACUCCCUUUCUCUAUCUGCAACACUUCCCGUCAACCUCUC
RNAcentral lists this long non-coding RNA (1024 nucleotides) under Malus domestica (apple). RNAcentral's name for it is "long non-coding RNA (MDOM_LNC004933)". Lineage: Eukaryota; Viridiplantae; Streptophyta; Magnoliopsida; Rosales; Rosaceae. The record is from RNAcentral.